Molecule: small nucleolar RNA, 107 nt
Organism: Malus domestica (apple)
Lineage: Eukaryota; Viridiplantae; Streptophyta; Magnoliopsida; Rosales; Rosaceae
Source: RefSeq, a predicted model, not a curated record
AAGCCAUGGUGAGGACACUUGACCAACAAAUUCUUGAAUCACCCCCAGGCUUAAAAAAAUGUCUCAUCUGCCAAUUGAGUAAAUUGCAUAAUCUUGUCUCUCAGUUC